Molecule: long non-coding RNA, 866 nt
Filed under: Elaeis guineensis (African oil palm)
Lineage: Eukaryota; Viridiplantae; Streptophyta; Magnoliopsida; Arecales; Arecaceae
Description: long non-coding RNA (EGUI_LNC011165)
Source: RNAcentral
AUAACUGCUAAUUUGUCAAUUUUGUAAUCAAUCAACUGCCAUAUUUGGCAACAAAACCUCACUGGUUGUACUGAUUCCCAAUUGCCACAUGAUAAAACAAUUGUUCAUGUGCAUGUAAGGGGGAGCCUCGGUAGUAUUUUUUCUAGGUACAACCGAGAAACUGAAGAAAAUAAAAUACCAACUAAAUACAAUUGACAGAACUAUGGCUACUAGCAGUAGAUUAAUAAAACAUUGUGGACCUUGGUAAAGUUUCCGACUGAAACCCAUCCCUACCAUAUCAUCUGUCAGAAGCUAGGUGCAUUCAGGAGGAAGCACUUCUUUUGUGUGAACAUAAACUCACCUUGGAUAGCCCUUUUAGAAAGCCAAUCAGCAGCCCUGUUUUCCUCUCUGUGAACAUGAGAAACUAUGCACCUUGCGCAUUUGUUUCCAAACCAAAGUUAUCUGUAAACACUGAAAGAUUAGGAGACCUGCAAGAGAAGGUUUAGAAAGCCACUUGACAGUUGUUAUAGAGUCGCCUUAUAGAAUAAUUUCAUGGCCCAGAUAACAGUUUGCUACAGCAAAAAAAGCAAAAAAAAAAAAACCUUCCAAGUUAUCAACUCAGCUAUAGGUACAGAUGAUAAAGAAAAAGGCUUGCUCGCAGCAUGUAGCAUGUAUGGUAGAGACAAGUGCAGUUGGUCUGGAUCCAGGAAUCUGCCCCAGUUUCAACCAUAUUCUGGUAAAUGCUUUGACUGCAAGGUAACACUAAUUGCAAUCAUAGCCAUAUAGGAGUCAAGAUCAUGUAGUGAUUACAAGCGUAAGGCUAGAACAAAAAUUUAACAUGAUGACCCUUGCAAGUAUGUUUACUUUAGUAGACGUCAGUGUUUUAA